CAGCCGUAAACUAUGCGCGUUAGGUGUACUGGUGACCACGAGUCACCGGGUGCCGAAGGGAAACCGUGAAACGUGCCGCCUGGGAAGUACGGUCGCAAGGCUGAAACUUAAAGGAAUUGGCGGGGGAGGCACCACAACGGGAGGAGCGUGCGGUUUAAUUGGAUUCAACACCGUAAAACUCACCAGGAAGACUGUUACAUGAAAGCCGUGAUGAAGACUCUGCUAGAUUUUCAGAGAGGAGGUGCAUGGCGUCAGUGACU
RNAcentral lists this ribosomal RNA (260 nucleotides) under uncultured archaeon. RNAcentral's name for it is "partial 16S ribosomal RNA". It matches the Rfam family "Archaeal small subunit ribosomal RNA", at positions 748 to 1008 of the family's 1478-position model. The record is from RNAcentral.